This 401-nucleotide ribosomal RNA is filed under the name uncultured prokaryote. RNAcentral's name for it is "bacterial SSU rRNA". It matches the Rfam family "Bacterial small subunit ribosomal RNA", at positions 355 to 774 of the family's 1533-position model. The record is from RNAcentral.
UGGGGAAUAUUGCACAAUGGGCGAAAGCCUGAUGCAGCAACGCCGCGUGAGUGAUGAAGGCUUUCGGGUCGUAAAACUCUGUCCUCAAGGAAGAUAAUGACGGUACUUGAGGAGGAAGCCCCGGCUAACUACGUGCCAGCAGCCGCGGUAAUACGUAGGGGGCUAGCGUUAUCCGGAUUUACUGGGCGUAAAGGGUGCGUAGGUGGUUUUUUAAGUCAGGAGUGAAAGGCUACGGCUCAACCGUAGUAAGCUCUUGAAACUGGAAAACUGGAGUGCAGGAGAGGAAAGUGGAAUUCCUAGUGUAGCGGUGAAAUGCGUAGAUAUUAGGAGGAACACCAGUAGCGAAGGCGGCUUUCUGGACUGUAACUGACACUGAGGCACGAAAGCGUGGGGAGCAAACA